RNAcentral lists this ribosomal RNA (407 nucleotides) under uncultured bacterium. RNAcentral describes it as "partial 16S ribosomal RNA". It matches the Rfam family "Bacterial small subunit ribosomal RNA", at positions 30 to 526 of the family's 1533-position model. The record is from RNAcentral.
AUUGAACGCUGGCGGCAGGCCUAACACAUGCAAGUCGAACGGAGUGGCGGACGGGUGAGUAAUGGAUGGGAAACUGCCUGGGAGUGGGGGAUAACGUACGGAAAAGGGCGCUAAUACCGCAUACUAACAGAGGGGCCUAGGUCGGAGUAGCUAGUUGGUGGGGUAAAGGCCGACCAAGGCGACUAUCCGUAACUGGUCUGAGACGAUGAUAAGGAACACUGUAACUGAGACACGGGCCAGACUCCUACGGGAGGCAGCAGUUGGGAAUAUUGGACAAUGGGCGAAAGCCUGAUCCAGCCAUGCCGCGUGUGUGAAGAAGUUCUUCGGAUUGUAAAGCACUUUAAUUUGGGAGGCGUUACCCGCAGAAGAAGCACCGGCUAACUCCGUGCCAGCAGCCGCGGUAAUUC